Molecule: RNA transcript, 2484 nt
Organism: Sebastes umbrosus (honeycomb rockfish)
Lineage: Eukaryota; Metazoa; Chordata; Actinopteri; Perciformes; Sebastidae
Gene name: homeodomain-interacting protein kinase 1-like
Exons: 11
Source: RefSeq, a predicted model, not a curated record
CAAUAGAAGAAUGUGGACUGUAGACAUAUACUGUAUAUCUGCUCUGGACAACUGGACAAGAAGCAACUUUUGGACCAAACUUCUCCACUGAAAUCCAGCUGAAAUCACUCUAACAACUGAACUGAUCACGAUACCCUCUGUAGCUGAUAACAACUUUAUUUGCAGAAAUGGCAACUGACGUCAAGACAUCAAACUUAGACAACUACGAAAUGCUUCAUGUCCUGGGAGAGGGAAGCUAUGGAAAGGUCGUAGGAUGUUACAAACGGGACACCAAGGAAGUUGUGGCUGUGAAAUUCUUAAAAAAAACAAGAUUUUCACAGCACCUCGACCGAAGGGAGAUGUUCAUCUUGGAAAAGCUCCGAUGUUUGGACCCUGAUGAGUGCAGGAUCAUCAAAUGCUUUGAGUGGAACCACGACAAAGAAAGUGCCUACAUGGUGUUUGAGAUGCUGGACAUUAGCCUCCAUCGCUUCAUGGCUCGCAGAAAAUGGGCUCCUUUGCCAUUGGAUGGCAUAAGGACCAUCAUCAAAGAUAUGGCCACAGCAUUAACUGCCCUGAGGAGUGUCGGUCUGAUCCAUACAGAUUUGAAGAUGGACAACAUCAUGCUGGUGGAUCACAAGAAGCAGCCAUUCAGGGUGAAGCUCAUUGACUUUGGCUUGACUCUGCGGAAAUCCGAAGCCUGGCCAGGACAAGGUGUUCAGCCUUUGCUGCACAGGUCUCCUGAAGUCAUUCUGGGCCACCCAUUCUCUGAGGCUAUUGACGUCUGGGCUCUCGGCACAAUAAUGGCCAAGCUCUACCUCGGCUGUUCACUUUUCCCGGGGGUUCAUGAGUAUGAUGUGCUGCGUUACAUCACUGACCUCCUGGGUGAAGUUCCGCAGCAACUUGUGAAGGCUGGGAGAAGGACAAAGCUCUACUAUCAAGGAAGAGCAAAUUUCUUCAUGAACACGGAAUGGACAAUGAAGACGCCAGAACAGUUUUCCAAGGAAACCAGCCAGAGAACAGAAGAACACAGGGCAUACCAGGCUCCCUCUCUGAAAGAGCUGACAGCGAUGAACAUACUCCAAGGAAACAAGGAAGAGGAGGCUGAUAGGAGCGCUUGUUUUGACCUGAUGGACAAAAUGCUUCAGAUGGAUCCCAACAAGAGGAUUACCCCAAACAAAAUCCUGGCACAUCCAUUCAUAACGGGGAGCUACGUCAACAAUGGGUGUCCCCAGGCUGUGGAGAAGAAAUCCCAGCAUCCAAGUGUUGAGAAAUCCAACUCUCCAAAGGAUGAGGAUGCUAGAUACUCAAAAUCGGUCAGUGACUCGACUGAUAGCAGCUUCUCUAGUAACGAAGACAACCCAUCUGAGGACUUGGACAGCGUGAUCAUCCCAUCGGCUCCUCAAAACAAACCAGAAUCAUCUCACUCACCUGCGGCCAUUGAGCCGAAGAAGAGGGAGAAGAAGAAGAGAGGAAUCCGAAGAUUCUUGUCCACCUUGAAGAGGAAAGUUUUCUGCUGCUUCUGUGCGCCAAAGAACGGCGAUGAAUGAAGCAGCGAGUCCCUCGAUAAGAGUCACUGACCGGUGAACGGCUGAGACCAAAGGGGACCAUGAGUCACUGACCGGUGAACGGCUGAGACCAAAGGGGACCAUAAACGCCUGUCAUAGAAGAACUCCUACUCCUACUAAGCCUUCCAAAAUAUAGUCCAGGAAGAAAGCUACCACCAGAAGCUACACGUCUGUGACUUGGAGUCCCAAUAAUCAAGGCCUAUUGAAGGAGGCUGGGACACGGGCAGACAGGGGUCUUGGGGUAUAACACAUGCACAGUGUAACUGAAGCUGCGUAGUGCGUUGCGAUUGGUUCAAUUUCGGCGAGUGCAGACCAGAUUUUACUGCGCAUGUGUUGUACACCAAAGAUGUGACGCGGUGAUGACGCGUGACCCAGCCUCCUUCAAUAGGCCUUGACAAUAAUCAGACUGGUUAGCCAUUUUUCCUGAAGAACCACUCCACAACCACUCCAUCCGACACAUAUUAUCCGUCUGUCCGUCCUGGAAGAGGGAUCCCUCCUCUGUUGCUCUUCCUGAGGUUUCUUCCAUUUUUACCCUGUUAAAAGGGUUUUUCUGGUUAAGUUUUUUCUCAUCCGAUGCGAGGGUCGUACUGUAAAGGACAGAGGGUGUCUUAUGCUGUACAGAUUGUAAAGCCCCCUGAAACAAGUGAUUUGUGUUAUUGGGCUAUACAAAUGAAAUUGACCUGAAUAAAAGCCUGUGGUUUUGGUAAUCGCUGGAGAGUAGAGUGUGGGAGCAUUGGCUGGUGGCCUGUGAAGGGCCGCCGAUACGAUACUUUCACGCUACCGCUUGCUGAUUGCUGCACCGUGGUGGAAAAGGAAGUAGACACACUUCGAAGUCAGCUACAACAGCAUGGAGUUGAGUGAGGAGUGAUAAAGGAAUGGGAAGGCUAGUGGGAGUAGGAGGAAUAAACAGGAUAAAUAAAUAAAUAUCUUUAUAAAAUAA